ACCCCGCACAAGCGGUUGGAUUAUGUUGUUUAAUUCGACGCAACGCGAAGAACCUUACCAGGCCUUGACAUACUCGGCAAAGCUCUAGAGAUAGAGUGGAGGUUAUCCGGGAUACAGGUGGUGCAUGGUUGUCGUCAGCUCGUGUCGUGAGAUGUUGGGUUAAGUCCCGCAACGAGCGCAACCCUUGUCUUUAGUUACCAUCAUUCAGUUGGGGACUCUAGAGAGACUGCCGGUGAUAAACCGGAGGAAGGUGGGGAUGACGUCAAAUCAUCAUGCCCCUUAUGGCCUGGGCUACAAACGUAAUACAAUGGCGUAUACAAAGGGAUGCGAAAGGGCGACCUGGAGCAAAACUCACAAAGUACGUCUCAGUUCAGAUUGGAGUCUGCAACUCGACUCCAUGAAGGCGGAAUCGCUAGUAAUCGCGGAUCAGCAUGCCGCGGUGAAUACGUUCUCGGGGUUU
This 460-nucleotide ribosomal RNA is filed under the name uncultured Erysipelothrix sp. RNAcentral's name for it is "bacterial SSU rRNA". It matches the Rfam family "Bacterial small subunit ribosomal RNA", at positions 918 to 1382 of the family's 1533-position model. The record is from RNAcentral. Lineage: Bacteria; Bacillati; Bacillota; Erysipelotrichia; Erysipelotrichales; Erysipelotrichaceae.